This 253-nucleotide ribosomal RNA is filed under the name uncultured bacterium. RNAcentral's name for it is "partial 16S ribosomal RNA". It matches the Rfam family "Bacterial small subunit ribosomal RNA", at positions 524 to 776 of the family's 1533-position model. The record is from RNAcentral.
UACAGAGGGUGCGAGCGUUGUCCGGAAUCACUGGGCGUAAAGGGCGCGUAGGUGGCGACCCAAGUCCAUGGUGAAAGCUCGAUGCUCAACAUCGAGUCGGCCACGGAUACUGGGUUGCUGGAGCACUGUAGAGGCAGAUGGAAUUCCGGGUGUAGCGGUGGAAUGCGUAGAGAUCCGGAAGAACACCCGUGGCGAAGGCGGCCGGCUGGGCCGGAUCCGACGCUGAGGCGCGAAAGCGUGGGGAGCAAACAGG